Molecule: ribosomal RNA, 498 nt
Filed under: uncultured bacterium
Lineage: Bacteria
Description: partial 16S ribosomal RNA
Rfam family: Bacterial small subunit ribosomal RNA
Source: RNAcentral
GAUGAACGCGAGCGGCAGGCCUAAUACAUGCAAGUCGAGGGAGAAUGUUGGAUUCGUCUGACAUGAAACCGGCGCACGGGUGCGUAACACGUAUGCAACCUACCUUUAACUGGGGUAUAGCUCAGAGAAAUCUGAAUUAAUCCCCCAUAAGACUACGACAUGGCAUCAUGAUGUAGUUUAAGCACCGGCGGUUAAGGAUGGGCAUGCGGUACAUUAGCUAGUUGGUGAGGUAAUGGCUCACCAAGGCUACGAUGUAUCGGGGGUCUUAGAGGAUGAUCCCCCACACUGGUACUGAGACACGGACCAGACUGCUACGGGAGGCAGCAGUAGGGAAUAUUGGUCAAUGGACGCAAGUCUGAACCAGCCAUGCCGCGUGAAGGAUGAAGGCCCUAUGGGUCGUAAACUUCUUUUAUUAGGGAAGAAAAAACGGGAUGCGUCCUGUACUGACGGUACUUAAUGAAUAAGGAUCGGCUAACUUCGUGCCAGCCGCCGCGGUAA